Molecule: ribosomal RNA, 205 nt
Filed under: uncultured bacterium
Lineage: Bacteria
Description: partial 16S ribosomal RNA
Rfam family: Archaeal small subunit ribosomal RNA
Source: RNAcentral
UACCAGCACCCCGAGUGGUCGGGACGUUUUAUUGGGCCUAAAGCAUCCGUAGCCGGUUCUACAAGUCUUCCGUUAAAUCCAACUGCUUAACAGGUGGGCUGCGGAAGAUACUAUAGAGCUAGGAGGCGGGAGAGGCAAGCGGUACUCAUGGGUAGGGGUAAAAAUCCGUUGAUCCAUUGAAGACCACCAGUGGCGAAAGGCGGCU